UACAGAGGUCCCAAGCGUUAUCCGGAUUCACUGGGUUUAAAGGGUGCGUAGGUGGGUUGGUAAGUCAGUGGUGAAGUCUCCGAGCUUAACUUGGAAACUGCCAUUGAUACUAUCAAUCUUGAAUACUGUGGAGGUCAGCGGAAUAUGUCAUGUAGCGGUGAAAUGCUUAGAUAUGACAUAGAACACCAAUUGCGAAGGCAGCUGGCUACACAAAUAUUGACACUGAGGCACGAAAGCGUGGGGAUCAAACAGG
Molecule: ribosomal RNA, 253 nt
Filed under: uncultured bacterium
Lineage: Bacteria
Description: partial 16S ribosomal RNA
Rfam family: Bacterial small subunit ribosomal RNA
Source: RNAcentral